Molecule: ribosomal RNA, 253 nt
Filed under: uncultured bacterium
Lineage: Bacteria
Description: partial 16S ribosomal RNA
Rfam family: Bacterial small subunit ribosomal RNA
Source: RNAcentral
UACGAAGGGGGCUAGCGUUGCUCGGAAUCACUGGGCGUAAAGGGCGCGUAGGCGGCUGAUUUAGUCGAGGGUGAAAGCCCGUGGCUCAACCACGGAAUGGCCUUCGAUACUGGUUGGCUCGAGACCGGAAGAGGACAGCGGAACUGCGAGUGUAGAGGUGAAAUUCGUAGAUAUUCGCAAGAACACCAGUGGCGAAGGCGGCUCACUGGCCCGGUACUGACGCUGAGGUGCGAAAGCGUGGGGAGCAAACAGG